CAGCACCUCCCUCUGUCUGAACAGCUCAUUAUUCUGAUGCACUCAUACCCUGAGAUUCUCACAUUGGUUGCAUAUUCUUAUGCACCACCCAUGAACCGCCACACACACACAUACAGGGGCACAUUGCCAUACACAGAAACACAAAUACACUGCCACACAAAGAUACACACAGAUUCACUCUGAGAGAUACACAUACAGAUUGAUACACAUACACAGUUGCAUUGACACAUACUGACAUACAUGCGCAGAUACAUACACUGACACACACAAAACACUAACAUGCACAGAGACAUACACUGACACACACAAAACACUGACAAACAUGCACAGAGACAUACACUGACAAACACAAAACACUAACAUACAUAUACCGUCAAAUACACUGAGCACACACAGAACACUAACACACACACACACAGACACAUAUGCUGACACACAAGGCCAGAUACAUACAUUGACACACACAAAACACUGACACACAUGUACAGAUACAUUCACUGACUCACAAGCACAUAUAUGUACACUAAGUCACAAAACACUGACACAUAUGCAACCAUACAUACACUGAGAUACAUAAACACUGACACAUAUGUACAGAUGCAUACACUGACACACCUGCAUAGA
Molecule: non-coding RNA, 624 nt
Organism: Pelobates cultripes (western spadefoot toad)
Lineage: Eukaryota; Metazoa; Chordata; Amphibia; Anura; Pelobatidae
Source: the annotation of a GenBank genome assembly